RNAcentral lists this ribosomal RNA (301 nucleotides) under uncultured bacterium. RNAcentral describes it as "partial 16S ribosomal RNA". It matches the Rfam family "Bacterial small subunit ribosomal RNA", at positions 509 to 810 of the family's 1533-position model. The record is from RNAcentral.
CAGUAGCCGCGGUAAUACGUAGGUCCCGAGCGUUGUCCGGAUUUAUUGGGCGUAAAGGGAGCGCAGGCGGUUUAGUAAGUCUGAAGUUAAAGGCAUUGGCUCAACCAAUGUAUGCUUUGGAAACUGUUAGACUUGAGUGCAGAAGGGGAGAGUGGAAUUCCAUGUGUAGCGGUGAAAUGCGUAGAUAUAUGGAGGAACACCGGUGGCGAAAGCGGCUCUCUGGUCUGUCACUGACGCUGAGGCUCGAAAGCGUGGGUAGCGAACAGGAUUAGAUACCCCUGUAGUCCCUGUCCUUAUACAC